GAGUUUGAUCUUGGCUCAGAUUGAACGCUGGCGGCAUGCCUUACACAUGCAAGUCGAACGGCAGCACGGGAGCUUGCUCCUGGUGGCGAGUGGCGAACGGGUGAGUAAUGCAUCGGAACGUAUCCUGGAGUGGGGGAUAACGUAGCGAAAGUUACGCUAAUACCGCAUAUUCUGUGAGCAGGAAAGCGGGGGACCUUCGGGCCUCGCGCUCUUGGAGCGGCCGAUGUCGGAUUAGCUAGUUGGUGAGGUAAGGGCUCACCAAGGCGACGAUCCGUAGCAGGUCUGAGAGGAUGAUCUGCCACACUGGAACUGAGACACGGUCCAGACUCCUACGGAGGCAGCAGUGGGGAAUUUGGACAAUGGGGGCAACCCUGAUCCAGCCAUGCCGCGUGAGUGAAGAAGGCCU
RNAcentral lists this ribosomal RNA (406 nucleotides) under bacterium enrichment culture clone ALO1_GLFRUDD03GEC0P. Its description in RNAcentral is "bacterial SSU rRNA". It matches the Rfam family "Bacterial small subunit ribosomal RNA", at positions 9 to 417 of the family's 1533-position model. The record is from RNAcentral.